AGGUCAGUGGCGGAUCUCUGAUGGACACACCAAGCGCCUUCUAAGCGCUUGGCCGCAGGUUCGAGUCCUGCCGGGG
Molecule: transfer RNA, 76 nt
Filed under: Streptomyces sp. JCM17656
Lineage: Bacteria; Bacillati; Actinomycetota; Actinomycetes; Kitasatosporales; Streptomycetaceae
Description: tRNA-Arg
Source: RNAcentral